RNAcentral lists this ribosomal RNA (429 nucleotides) under Chloroflexota bacterium. Its description in RNAcentral is "Chloroflexi bacterium partial 16S ribosomal RNA". It matches the Rfam family "Bacterial small subunit ribosomal RNA", at positions 355 to 776 of the family's 1533-position model. Lineage: Bacteria; Bacillati; Chloroflexota. The record is from RNAcentral.
UGGGGAAUAUUGCACAAUGGGCGCAAGCCUGAUGCAGCCAUGCCGCGUGUAUGAAGAAGGCCUUCGGGUUGUAAAGUACUUUCAGUCGGGAGGAAGGUGGUAAGGUUAAUAACCUUGGCAAUUGACGUUACCGACAGAAGAAGCACCUGCUAACUCCGUGCCAGCAGCCGCGGUAAUACGGAGGGUGCAAGCGUUAAUCGGAAUUACUGGGCGUAAAGCGCACGCAGGCGGUUGAUUGAGUCAGAUGUGAAAUCCCCGGGCUUAACCCGGGAAUUGCAUCUGAUACUGGUCAGCUAGAGUCUUGUAGAGGGGGGUAGAAUUCCAUGUGUAGCGGUGAAAUGCGUAGAGAUGUGGAGGAAUACCGGUGGCGAAGGCGGCCCCCUGGACAAAGACUGACGCUCAGGUGCGAAAGCGUGGGGAGCAAACAGG